CAGUAGCCGCGGUAACACGAAGGGGGCUAGCGUUGUUCGGAAUUACUGGGCGUAAAGCGCACGUAGGCGGAUAUUUAAGUCAGGGGUGAAAUCCCGCAGCUCAACUGCGGAACUGCCUUUGAUACUGGGUAUCUUGAGUAUGGAAGAGGUUAGUGGAAUUGCGAGUGUAGAGGUGAAAUUUGUAGAUAUUCGCAGGAACACCAGUGGCGAAGGCGGCUAACUGGUCCAUAACUGACGCUGAGGUGCGAAAGCGUGGGGAGCAAACAGGAUUAGAUACCCGAGUAGUCCCUGUCUCUUAUAC
Molecule: ribosomal RNA, 301 nt
Filed under: uncultured bacterium
Lineage: Bacteria
Description: partial 16S ribosomal RNA
Rfam family: Bacterial small subunit ribosomal RNA
Source: RNAcentral